GGCAUAGCUCAGUGGUAGAGUGUGUGCUUAGCAUGCACGAAGUCCUAGGUUCAAUCCCCAAUACUGCCA
RNAcentral lists this transfer RNA (69 nucleotides) under Camelus bactrianus (Bactrian camel). It matches the Rfam family "tRNA". Rfam says of the family: Transfer RNA (tRNA) molecules are approximately 80 nucleotides in length. Their secondary structure includes four short double-helical elements and three loops (D, anti-codon, and T loops). The record is from Rfam by way of RNAcentral. RNAcentral also lists the same sequence under 2 other names. Lineage: Eukaryota; Metazoa; Chordata; Mammalia; Artiodactyla; Camelidae.